RNAcentral lists this ribosomal RNA (372 nucleotides) under uncultured bacterium. RNAcentral's name for it is "bacterial SSU rRNA". It matches the Rfam family "Bacterial small subunit ribosomal RNA", at positions 28 to 402 of the family's 1533-position model. The record is from RNAcentral.
GACGAACGCUGGCGGCGUGCUUAACACAUGCAAGUCGAGCGGUAAGGCCCUUUCGGGGGUACACGAGCGGCGAACGGGUGAGUAACACGUGGGUGACCUGCCCUCAGCUCUGGGAUAAGCCUGGGAAACUGGGUCUAAUACCGGAUAUGACUCCAUGACGCAUGUUGUGGGGUGGAAAGCCUUGUGCGGCUGAGGAUGGGCCCGCGGCCUAUCAGCUUGUUGGUGGGGGAUGGCCUACCAAGGCGACGACGGGUAGCCGGCCUGAGAGGGCGACGGCCACACUGGGACUGAGACACGGCCCAGACUCCUACGGGAGGCAGCAGUGGGGAAUCUUGCGCAAAUGGGCGAAAGCCUGACGCAGCGACGCCGCGU